RNAcentral lists this ribosomal RNA (525 nucleotides) under uncultured fungus. RNAcentral's name for it is "eukaryotic LSU rRNA". The stretch from base 191 to 342 matches the Rfam family "5.8S ribosomal RNA". Lineage: Eukaryota; Fungi. The record is from RNAcentral.
CUUGGUCAUUUAGAGGAAGUAAAAGUCGUAACAAGGUCUCCGUAGGUGAACCUGCGGAGGGAUCAUUAUGAAAUUUGUCGCCUCGGCGUCAAACGACUCUUCCUGUGUGAGCACAAGCUUGCUUUGGCGCCUCUUUGGCGCCAGAUUUAUGCGGAUUGGCUUUUGAAUCUGAAUAAAAAUUCAAAUUUAAAACUUUCAACAAAGGAUCUCUUGGCUCUUGCACCGAUGAAGAACGCAGCAAAGCGCGAAAUGUAGUGUGAAUUGCAGAACUUUGUGAAUCAUCGAAUCUUUGAACGCAUAUUGCGCCCCUUGUUACAGAGGGGCAUGCCUGUCUGAGUGUCUUUUAAACCAUAGACUCUGGUCUGUUUUGGGAGUCGCCUUCGAGUGUCUCCUCAAAGUCAUUGCUGUCGAGCGGAUGAGAUCCAUUAGGACAAACCCGUUUUGGCUGGCGUGCGGCUUUUCUCUGGCAGACCUCAGAUCAGGUAAGACAACCGCCUGAACUUAAGCAUAUCAAUAAGCGGAGGA